Macaca mulatta (Rhesus monkey) is the source of this 1566-nucleotide long non-coding RNA. The record is from Ensembl. Lineage: Eukaryota; Metazoa; Chordata; Mammalia; Primates; Cercopithecidae.
AUGAGGCUGAGGGUGAUUAAGUACCAAGUGAGUGGUAGUGACAGGUGUAGGAUCCUGGUGAAGGAGGAACGGCCCUGCCCACAUGCACAGCCAGGAGCUGCCUUGUGGCAAGGCUCCUCCCUGGAUGUGGGAGCAGAGGAGGCGGCAAACCAGAGAAGAUUGCAGUUGUCCAUAGGUAACUGAAACUUCAGAAAGCAAAACCACGAGUAAGAGGGAACCACUGUACCUGGCCAUGCAGCACCUUGCUACUUAAGCAGCUUAUUAUGAACUAAGAUACUGUUUCGGAAAGAAUAUUCCAGUAACACCCAGAAACUUCCCUGAGGUAUGAGGACCUUCUGGCACACACGUCUCGGCAAGAUAUAAGUGAACUUGCUUCUUCUGCUCUCCAGACUAUCCACCAUGUGUCAUCAAUGUAACAGGCUUACAGGAUCCCCUGCAAAAUUAUGAGAUGGGAAAGUCUCCUCUGUACUACAUUAUGGCAGAGCCAGAGUCGACAUAACUUUGAAGCAAAAUGGUGAAGAAGUACUGUUGUCUCUGCUAGGUAAAAGCAAACUGCUUCUUGUUUUUGUCUUCUUAUUGGGGUAGCUGAAAAAGCACUUUGUAGAUUAAUAGUUGUGUAUUAGGGACCACAGGCUUUUGAGGUUUUGGAACUUUGUCAAUUUGCUUCGAUAAGGAAAUCACAUCUUGGAUCAGUGACUGCAAUAGAAGUCUCUUCCUGAUUAAGCUUUUGAUAGUCCACUGCUAUUUUUCAACCUCCAAGUAUCUUUCUGUACCCACUAAAUAUAGUGAUAUACAGAAAUAACCACUCAUCUAUAUUUCAAGUCUUUGGUGAUGCCACAAAUGUCUGCAGUUCCCUCAGGAAAGGGUGGCUGCUCUUGAUUUACUUUUCUAGCAGGGAGGGGGAGUUUUCAUUUUCUCUCUUCUGCAAUAAUAGCCUUUAUUUAUGGGUCCCAGAGGCAAUAUGGAAUUCUACUAUGGAAUUCUACCAAGCCGAGCCUCUAUAUUUCCAUCAGACACUACAGGACUAGAGAAAUAACCACAGGGUGAGCUGAAGGCUCUAUCGAGUCAGUUGCGAGGCAGCCUACAAUAAAAAUGGAGUUGAUCACCUGACACUGGGUAUUAGUUAUCUAUAGCUAUGUGUCAAGUUACCCAAAACUUAAUAGCUGAGAACAGCACUUACUAUCUCACAGCAUCUGUGGUUCAGGAAUGCCGGAGCAGCGUGGCUGCAUGGUCCUGGCUGAGCAUCCCUCUCAGCCUGCUGUCAUCUCAAGGCUUCCCUGAGGGAUGAUCCACCCCCGAGCUCAGUCACGUGGUCACUGGCAGGCCGUGGUUCUUUGAUAUGUGGGCCUUUUUAUGCCUCACAACGUGGGAGCUUUCUUCCCCCAGCUGAGCAAUCCAAGAGAGUAUGAGAGAGAACCCAAAGUCCAAAAAAUAUAUAUAUUUUUAUAACCCAAUCGUGGAAGUGACAUUCCCUAAGUUCUGCCAUAUUUCAUUUACUAGACCAAAUAAACCCAGCCCACAUUCAAGCAGAGGGGAUUCCACAAGGGUAUGGAUACCGCAGGCAAG